Long non-coding RNA from Girardinichthys multiradiatus, 174 nucleotides. RefSeq lists it as uncharacterized. The record is from RefSeq and is a predicted model, not a curated record. The transcript is spliced from 2 exons. Lineage: Eukaryota; Metazoa; Chordata; Actinopteri; Cyprinodontiformes; Goodeidae.
UUAGAGACUAAAAUACACCCUUUAAUCAAACUUUUUGACAGGUGACCUUUGACCUUAAGGGGGGUCAUGGAGUAUUGAGAACAGGUGGUGUGAGGGGUGUGUCCGAGGGGCGUAACCGUGGAUGCUGAUUGGUUGUCAUCAUUAGGGGCGAUACCUUAAAUGAACCAAUAAUAA